This 76-nucleotide transfer RNA is filed under the name Acuticoccus sediminis. RNAcentral describes it as "Acuticoccus sp. PTG4-2 tRNA-Lys". It matches the Rfam family "tRNA". Rfam says of the family: Transfer RNA (tRNA) molecules are approximately 80 nucleotides in length. RNAcentral also lists the same sequence under 1 other name. The record is from RNAcentral. Lineage: Bacteria; Pseudomonadati; Pseudomonadota; Alphaproteobacteria; Hyphomicrobiales; Amorphaceae.
GCGCCUGUAGCUCAGCUGGUAGAGCAUCCGACUUUUAAUCGGCAGGUCCCGGGUUCGAGUCCCGGCGGGCGUACCA